AGAGUUUGAUCCUGGCUCAGAAUCAACGCUGGCGGCGUGCCUAACACAUGCAAGUCGAACGCGAGGACCCCGCAAGGGGUUAGUAGAGUGGCAAACGGGUGAGUAACGCGUGGGUGACCUACCUUCGAGUGGGGGAUAACGUUCCGAAAGGGACGCUAAUACCGCAUGACAUCCUGCCUUUGAACAGGUGGUGAUCAAAGCCGGAACCGCAAGGUCUGGCGCUUGAUGAGGGGCCCGCGUCCGAUUAGCUAGUUGGUGGGGUAAUGGCUCACCAAGGCGACGAUCGGUAGCCGGCCUAAGAGGGCGGACGGCCACACUGGGACUGAGACACGGCCCAGACUCCUACGGGAGGCAGCAGUGGGGAAUUGUUCGCAAUGGGCGCAAGCCUGACGACGCAACGCCGCGUGGAGGAUGAAGACUUUCGGGUCGUAAACUCCUGUCGAGCGGGACGAAUGAUCUGCGACCUAAUACGUCGUAGAAGUGACGGUACCGCUAGAGAAGCCC
Molecule: ribosomal RNA, 504 nt
Filed under: uncultured Acidobacteriaceae bacterium
Lineage: Bacteria; Pseudomonadati; Acidobacteriota; Terriglobia; Terriglobales; Acidobacteriaceae
Description: bacterial SSU rRNA
Rfam family: Bacterial small subunit ribosomal RNA
Source: RNAcentral